RNAcentral lists this ribosomal RNA (547 nucleotides) under uncultured Acinetobacter sp. RNAcentral's name for it is "bacterial SSU rRNA". It matches the Rfam family "Bacterial small subunit ribosomal RNA", at positions 337 to 875 of the family's 1533-position model. The record is from RNAcentral. Lineage: Bacteria; Pseudomonadati; Pseudomonadota; Gammaproteobacteria; Moraxellales; Moraxellaceae.
UCCUACGGGAGGCAGCAGUGGGGAAUAUUGGACAAUGGGGGGAACCCUGAUCCAGCCAUGCCGCGUGUGUGAAGAAGGCCUUUUGGUUGUAAAGCACUUUAAGUGGGGAGGAGGCUUACCUGGUUAAUACCUGGGCUAAGUGGACGUUACCCACAGAAUAAGCACCGGCUAACUCUGUGCCAGCAGCCGCGGUAAUACAGAGGGUGCGAGCGUUAAUCGGAUUUACUGGGCGUAAAGCGCGCGUAGGUGGUUUUUUAAGUCAGAUGUGAAAUCCCCGGGCUUAACCUGGGAAUUGCAUUCGAAACUGGUUAGCUAGAGUAUGGGAGAGGAUGGUAGAAUUCCAGGUGUAGCGGUGAAAUGCGUAGAGAUCUGGAGGAAUACCGAUGGCGAAGGCAGCCAUCUGGCCUAAUACUGACACUGAGGUGCGAAAGCAUGGGGAGCAAACAGGAUUAGAUACCCUGGUAGUCCAUGCCGUAAACGAUGUCUACUAGCCGUUGGGGGAUUUGAUCCUUUAGUGGCGCAGCUAACGCGAUAAGUAGACCGCCUG